This 270-nucleotide ribosomal RNA is filed under the name uncultured bacterium. Its description in RNAcentral is "partial 16S ribosomal RNA". It matches the Rfam family "Bacterial small subunit ribosomal RNA", at positions 338 to 600 of the family's 1533-position model. The record is from RNAcentral.
CCUACGGGGCGCAGCAGUAGGGAAUCUUCCACAAUGGACGAAAGUCUGAUGGAGCAACGCCGCGUGAGUGAAGAAGGGUUUCGGCUCGUAAAGCUCUGUUGGGAGUGAAGAAAGAUAGAGGGAGUAACUGGCCUUUAUUUUACGGUAAUUACUUAGAAAGUAACUGCUAACUACGUGCCAGCAGCCGCGGUAAUACGUAGGUGGCAAGCGUUGUCCGGAUUUAUUGGGCGUAAAGCGAGUGCAGGCGGUUUCAUUAGUCUUGUUUGAAAG